UUUCCGUAGGUGAACCUGCGGAAGGACCAUUAUUGUAUAACCGAGGUGCGAGGGCUGUCGCUGACCCGAAAGGUCGUGCACGCCCGAGUGCCCUCACACACAUCCAUCUCACCCCUAUGUGCACCACCGCGUGAGUCCCCCUUUGGCUUGUUCGGAGGGGGGCUUACGUUUUCACACAAACUUUGUAUGCAGUGUAGAAUGUAUUUUUUGUUUUUGCGAUCACGCAAUCAAUACAACUUUCAACAACGGAUCUCUUGGCUCUC
This 263-nucleotide unclassified non-coding RNA is filed under the name plant metagenome. RNAcentral describes it as "partial contains small subunit ribosomal RNA, internal transcribed spacer 1, and 5.8S ribosomal RNA". The record is from RNAcentral.